GGGGCGCUGCCGCAUGACGCGCGGCGCGAUUAACCGAACCGGUCGCGAGCAUGCAGGAAAGAUAGAUGUUAGGCUAAUAUUCGAGGAAAAUUAGAUCUAAUCAUAACUAGACUAAGCUAAGCAAGCAGAAAUUACAAUAUUUAGGGGAAAUAUUUUGACCACCCCCACGUUUGCGUAGAGACCAAUUAGAUGCUAUUGAUCGUUCUGACAAUGAAACAAAUAUCCAUGUACAUGUAUGGUGUGGGUGAAGGUGUAGGUGUAGGUGCUGUAAGCAUUAUAAAGA
This 283-nucleotide long non-coding RNA is filed under the name Drosophila guanche. The record is from RNAcentral. Lineage: Eukaryota; Metazoa; Arthropoda; Insecta; Diptera; Drosophilidae.